UACGUAGGGGCCUAGCGUUGUUCGGAUUCAUUGGGCGUAAAGGGUGCGUAGGCGGCGCGGUAAGUCGGGUGUGAAAUCUCGGAGCUUAACUCCGAAACUGCAUUCGAUACUGCCGUGCUUGAGGACUGGAGAGGAGACUGGAAUUUACGGUGUAGCGGUGAAAUGCGUAGAUAUCGUAAGGAAGACCAGUGGCGAAGGCGGGUCUCUGGACAGUUCCUGACGCUGAGGCACGAAGGCCAGGGGAGCAAACGGG
RNAcentral lists this ribosomal RNA (253 nucleotides) under uncultured bacterium. RNAcentral's name for it is "partial 16S ribosomal RNA". It matches the Rfam family "Bacterial small subunit ribosomal RNA", at positions 524 to 776 of the family's 1533-position model. The record is from RNAcentral.